UUGAUCAUGGCUCAGGACGAACGCUGGCGGCGUGCCUAAUACAUGCAAGUCGAACGCUUCUUUCCUCCCGAGUGCUUGCACUCAAUUGGAAAGAGGAGUGGCGGACGGGUGAGUAACACGUGGGUAACCUACCCAUCAGAGGGGGAUAACACUUGGAAACAGGUGCUAAUACCGCAUAACAGUUUAUGCCGCAUGGCAUAAGAGUGAAAGGCGCUUUCGGGUGUCGCUGAUGGAUGGACCCGCGGUGCAUUAGCUAGUUGGUGAGGUAACGGCUCACCAAGGCCACGAUGCAUAGCCGACCUGAGAGGGUGAUCGGCCACACUGGGACUGAGACACGGCCCAGACUCCUACGGGAGGCAGCAGUAGGGAAUCUUCGGCAAUGGACGAAAGUCCGACCGAGCAACGCCGCGUGAGUGAAGAAGGUUUUCGGAUCGUAAAACUCUGUUGUUAGAGAAGAACAAGGACGUUAGUAACUGAACGUCCCCUGACGGUAUCUAACCAGAAAGCCACGGCUAACUACGUGCCAGCAGCCGCGGUAAUACGUAGGUGGCAAGCGUUGUCCGGAUUUAUUGGGCGUAAAGCGAGCGCAGGCGGUUUCUUAAGUCUGAUGUGAAAGCCCCCGGCUCAACCGGGGAGGGUCAUUGGAAACUGGGAGACUUGAGUGCAGAAGAGGAGAGUGGAAUUCCAUGUGUAGCGGUGAAAUGCGUAGAUAUAUGGAGGAACACCAGUGGCGAAGGCGGCUCUCUGGUCUGUAACUGACGCUGAGGCUCGAAAGCGUGG
RNAcentral lists this ribosomal RNA (780 nucleotides) under uncultured bacterium. RNAcentral describes it as "bacterial SSU rRNA". It matches the Rfam family "Bacterial small subunit ribosomal RNA", at positions 13 to 764 of the family's 1533-position model. The record is from RNAcentral.